Vespa velutina is the source of this 752-nucleotide long non-coding RNA. RefSeq lists it as uncharacterized. NCBI's taxonomy places the organism in Eukaryota, Metazoa, Arthropoda, Insecta, Hymenoptera, Vespidae. The record is from RefSeq and is a predicted model, not a curated record. The transcript has 3 exons.
AUCAUCGAUUACGGUUAGGUACAUUCGCCGAAAUUCUUUGAUGUACAUCGUCCGAAGAAGAAGGAAAAAAAUUAGUCAGUUGGGACGAUAGUCAUCAUCAAUGAUGGGCAGCCAGCUGCCGUAUACAAUGUGUCGCCUAAACGCCUCCCUCCCUCCCUCUCUCUUUCUCUCCCUUUCCCUCUCUCUCCCUCUCUCUCUCUCUCUCUCUCUCUCUCUCUUUCUCUCUCUCCCUCUCUUUUUCUUUCUCUCCCUUUCUUUCUCUGUGUCUCUGUCUGUCAUUACCGAAAGUAGAGCAGUUAGGAUCUUGCUGCAUUAUAAAAUGGUCGUUAUCACGUGCGUAGAACUUUCCCUUUCCUUCUGAAUCGAUCUUCCAAAUAUCCUGGGAUCUGAAAAUAGUUUUACAUCGGGGAUUACAGGGCGUCAUGUCGGUAGGGUGGAUAAAAUAAGACAUGGACCAUCUAUGGCUCCAAUAUAUGAACAAAAGUAUAAACAAGACUUACAAGAAACUGAACAGGAUUCACGAAAGGAGAAGGAACAAUCAUCAAACGUUUACUAAUCGUUCAAAGGUUAUGUUCCGCACGAAAGAGCCGAGAUAGAACUGUCAAAGCAAAAACGGGAAGGAAAGAACCCGAUGGGGAAUAAAAGCAACGAAAAAUGGAUAAAAGUGUAAGAAAAAGAGGCAGUUCAAGAAUACGCUUGUAUUAUCAGAUUUGUAAUUUAAAAAAAAAAAAAAAAAAAAAAAAAAAAGAAAA